RNAcentral lists this ribosomal RNA (253 nucleotides) under uncultured bacterium. Its description in RNAcentral is "partial 16S ribosomal RNA". It matches the Rfam family "Bacterial small subunit ribosomal RNA", at positions 524 to 776 of the family's 1533-position model. The record is from RNAcentral.
UACGAAGGGGGCUAGCGUUGUUCGGAAUUACUGGGCGUAAAGCGCGUGUAGGCGGGCCGUUAAGUCGGGGGUGAAAGCCCAGAGCUCAACUCUGGAAUUGCCCUCGAUACUGGCGGCCUGGAGCAUGAUAGAGGCGAGUGGAAUUGCGAGUGUAGAGGUGAAAUUCGUAGAUAUUCGCGGGAACACCAGUGGCGAAGGCGACUCGCUGGAUCAUUGCUGACGCUGAGACGCGAAAGCAGGGGGAGCAAACAGG